UACAGGGGGUGCAAACGUUGCUCGGAAUCAUUGGGCGUAAAGCGCACGUAGGCGGUCUGUUAUGUCGGAUGUGAAAGCCCUUGGCUCAACUGAGGAAGUGCAUCCGAAACUGGCAGGCUAGAGUACGAAAGAGGAUCGCGGAAUUCCUGGUGUAGCGGUGAAAUGCGCAGAUAUCAGAAAGAACACCCGUGGCGAAAGCGGCUCUCUGGAACGGUACUGACGCUGAGACGCGAAAGCGUGGGGAGCGAACAGG
This 253-nucleotide ribosomal RNA is filed under the name uncultured bacterium. RNAcentral's name for it is "partial 16S ribosomal RNA". It matches the Rfam family "Bacterial small subunit ribosomal RNA", at positions 524 to 776 of the family's 1533-position model. The record is from RNAcentral.